This 440-nucleotide ribosomal RNA is filed under the name uncultured bacterium. Its description in RNAcentral is "partial 16S ribosomal RNA". It matches the Rfam family "Bacterial small subunit ribosomal RNA", at positions 338 to 795 of the family's 1533-position model. The record is from RNAcentral.
CCUACGGGAGGCAGCAGUAGGGAAUAUUGCUCAAUGGGGGAAACCCUGAAGCAGCAACGCCGCGUGGAGGAUGAAGGUUUUCGGAUUGUAAACCUCUUUUGUUAGAGAAGAUAAUGACUGUAUCUAACGAAUAAGCACCGGCUAACUACGUGCCAGCAGCCGCGGUAAUACGGAGGGUGCAAGCGUUACUCGGAAUCACUGGGCGUAAAGAGGGCGGAGGCGGGAUAGCAAGUCAGAUGUGAAAUCCUUGGGCUUAACCAUAGAACUGCAUUUGAAACUGUUAUUCUAGAGUUUGGGAGAGGUAGGUGGAAUUCUUGGUGUAGGGGUAAAAUGCGUAGAGAUCAAGAGGAAUACUCAUUGCGAAGGCGGCCUGCUAGAACAUAACUGACGCUGAUGCGCGAAAGCGUGGGGAGCAAACAGGAUUAGAUACCCUAGUAGUC